RNAcentral lists this ribosomal RNA (2082 nucleotides) under Triticum aestivum (bread wheat). RNAcentral's name for it is "partial small subunit ribosomal RNA". The record is from RNAcentral. Lineage: Eukaryota; Viridiplantae; Streptophyta; Magnoliopsida; Poales; Poaceae.
AUGCAUGCUACGUCAGGCAACGCUAAUUGCUUGAGACGGAUUCUAUCGGAUUAUUGUAAGGCGUCUGGGCAGUUAGUGAGCGAAGACAAGUCAAGCAUUUUCUUUAGUCCAAGUAUCGAGCCUGAGGUUAGAGAGGAAGUGUGUACAAUUUUGAAUAUAAUGACAGAAGCUCUGACGGAUAAAUAUCUCGGAUUGCCAGCCAUUGUUGGGGCAGACAAAAGUGAUAAUUUCCAGUUCCUGAUUGAUAGAGUGCUAAAGAGAUUGCUUGGAUGGAAAGAGAAAAAUCUGUCCACGGGUGGAAAAGAGGUGCUUCUGAAAGCGAUUGCGCAGGCGAUACCAUCAUAUGCGAUGUCUGUUUUUAAAAUCUCAAAACAAAUCUGCAAAGGGAUCACAGACGGUAUGUCGCAAUAUUGGUGGGGCGAUGAUGCGGAUCAAAGACGGAUGCAUUGGCUUGCUUGGUGGAAAAUGUGUAUCCCAAAGAAAUUUGGUGGAAUGGGUUUUAGGGAUAUCCACUGUUUUAACCUUGCCUUGUUAGCUAAGCAAGCAUGGCGACUAAUUGAGAACCCUGAUUCUCUCUGUGCUACCAUGUUGCGUGCAAGGUACUUUCCAUCAGGAGAUUUGUUGAACACGGAGUUGAAGAAAGGGAGCUCUUUUACAUGGCAGAGUAUUUGGGCUGGGAUUAGUACAUUAAAACGUGGUCAUAUAUGGCGUGUAGGAGAUGGAACUAAUAUUGAUAUCUGGAAAGACGAAUGGAUCCCAAAUAGUGCAUCACGCAAAGUUAUAACUAGAAGGGGUCAGAACAUCUUUAGUAGGGUGAGCGACCUUAUUGAUCCUAUCACAAAUCACUGGGAUGUGGAUUUAGUGACGCAGACCUUUUGGCAAGUGGAUGUUCAAAGGAUUCUUGCUAUACCUUUAUCAUCUUCUGGCAUGCAAGAUUUUGUUGCUUGGAACCUGACUCGUACAAACAUCUUUUCUGUGCGCUCAGCUUAUUAUGCAGAAUGGGAGGGCCAAUAUGGCCAAAGGUUAAAUAGAGGAUAUCAAGCUUUUGGUAUCAAACCACAUCCAAUUUGGGAUAAAAUCCGGGGUCUCAAAGUGCCUGCGAAGGUAAAAAUCUUUCUUUGGAGAGUUAUGCAUAAUACUAUUCCUUGUCGGGUUGCUCUGGCGAAUCGUCAUAUUAAAGUGAGCGGGCAAUGCCCAGUCUGUGAGAUUGGAGCGGAAGAUAUUAAGCAUCUCCUGUUCAAGUGUAGCCGAGCAAAGCACGUACAGCAAGCACUGGGUAUUGAUGACUUAAUUGAGAAAUUUUGUCUUGCUCAUCACCCUGGAGAGUCUAUUCUAGAGGAAUUGUUGUACUCAAGCCCUGGUCAGUCUAUGAUUUUGAGACAAGCCCCAUUGGCAGAGCUUGUUGCAGUGGCAUGUUGGUAUUUAUGGUGGAAAAGAAGGCAAAUUAGUCGUAAUAUUCAGGUGCAGUCCCCAGAAAGAUCUGCGAUAGCAAUCAAGGUGUUAUCUUCAAACUUCAGGUCUGCUACCGUUCCUAAUGCAAGGGUGAGAAAGGAGAGAUGGGCUCCUCCAACAGGUGAUCGUGUCAAGAUAAAUGUUGAUGCUUCCUUUGACCCAGACUUUCUGAGGGGAACUACGGGUGCAGUCAUUCGUGAUAAAAAGGGGAAGUUCAUUGCCGCGUGUAAUGCACGUUUGGAUAUGGUUCAAGAUGUUUUGUCGGCUGAAGCUUUGGCGCUCAAACACGGCCUGUUCUUAGCUAAAUCCAUGGGUUGUAAUAGAGUCGUUGUGAGUUCUGAUAAUAGUGAAUUAAUAGAAAUUAUGAAGAACGAGAGGCCCCCUACAGGUAUUGCUGCAGCGAUUUAUCAUGAUUGUUUUUCUAUGGAGUCAGACUUUGUUAGGGUUAAGUAUGAGCAUGCGAAUAGGGAAACAAAUUCUGUAACUCAUGAACUGGCCCAAUUAGCUAAAUUCCAGACCAGUAGGGUCUGGAUGGAUGAUCCUCCCUCCUCUAUUGUACCUCUCAUGGUGAAUGAUGUAACAUUAUUAUCAUUGAAUAAAGAGGUCUUUUUUGAGGUCAAAAAAAAGUGA